ACUAAGCGUACACGGUGGAUGCCCUGGCAGUCAGAGGCGAUGAAGGACGUGCUAAUCUGCGAAAAGCGUCGGUAAGGUGAUAUGAACCGUUAUAACCGGCGAUGUCCGAAUGGGGAAACCCAGUGUGAUUCGUCACACUAUCGUUAACUGAAUACAUAGGUUAACGAGGCGAACCGGGGGAACUGAAACAUCUAAGUACCCCGAGGAAAAGAAAUCAACCGAGAUUCCCCCAGUAGCGGCGAGCGAACGGGGAGCAGCCCAGAGUCUGAAUCAGCUUGUGUGUUAGUGGAACGGUCUGGAAAGUCCGACGGUACAGGGUGAUAGUCCCGUACACCAAAAUGCACAGGCUGUGAACUCGAAGAGUAGGGCGGGACACGUGGUAUCCUGUCUGAAUAUGGGGGGACCAUCCUCCAAGGCUAAAUACUCCUGACUGACCGAUAGUGAACCAGUACCGUGAGGGAAAGGCGAAAAGAACCCCGGCGAGGGGAGUGAAAAAGAACCUGAAACCGUGUACGUACAAGCAGUGGGAGCACCUUCGGGUGUGACUGCGUACCUUUUGUAUAAUGGGUCAGCGACUUAUAUUCUGUAGCAAGGUUAACCGUAUAGGGGAGCCGCAGGGAAACCGAGUCUUAACUGGGCGUUAAGUUGCAGGGUAUAGACCCGAAACCCGGUGAUCUAGCCAUGGGCAGGUUGAAGGUUGGGUAACACUAACUGGAGGACCGAACCGACUAAUGUUGAAAAAUUAGCGGAUGACUUGUGGCUGGGGGUGAAAGGCCAAUCAAACCGGGAGAUAGCUGGUUCUCCCCGAAAGCUAUUUAGGUAGCGCCUCGUGAACUCAUCUUCGGGGGUAGAGCACUGUUUCGGCUAGGGGGUCAUCCCGACUUACCAACCCGAUGCAAACUACGAAUACCGAAGAAUGUUAUCACGGGAGACACACGGCGGGUGCUAACGUCCGUCGUGAAGAGGGAAACAACCCAGACCGCCAGCUAAGGUCCCAAAGUCAUGGUUAAGUGGGAAACGAUGUGGGAAGGCACAGACAGCCAGGAUGUUGGCUUAGAAGCAGCCAUCAUUUAAAGAAAGCGUAAUAGCUCACUGGUCGAGUCGGCCUGCGCGGAAGAUGUAACGGGGCUAAACCAUGCACCGAAGCUGCGGCAGCGACACUAUGUGUUGUUGGGUAGGGGAGCGUUCUGUAAGCCUGCGAAGGUGACCUGUGAGGGUUGCUGGAGGUAUCAGAAGUGCGAAUGCUGACAUAAGUAACGAUAAAGCGGGUGAAAAGCCCGCUCGCCGGAAGACCAAGGGUUCCUGUCCAACGUUAAUCGGGGCAGGGUGAGUCGACCCCUAAGGCGAGGCCGAAAGGCGUAGUCGAUGGGAAACAGGUUAAUAUUCCUGUACUUGGUGUUACUGCGAAGGGGGGACGGAGAAGGCUAUGUUAGCCGGGCGACGGUUGUCCCGGUUUAAGCAUGUAGGCUGGUUGUCCAGGCAAAUCCGGAUAAUCAAGGCUGAGGUGUGAUGACGAGGCACUACGGUGCUGAAGUAACAAAUGCCCUGCUUCCAGGAAAAGCCUCUAAGCAUCAGGUAACAUCAAAUCGUACCCCAAACCGACACAGGUGGUCAGGUAGAGAAUACCAAGGCGCUUGAGAGAACUCGGGUGAAGGAACUAGGCAAAAUGGUGCCGUAACUUCGGGAGAAGGCACGCUGGUGUGUAGGUGAAGUCCCUGCGGAUGGAGCUGAGACCAGUCGAAGAUACCAGCUGGCUGCAACUGUUUAUUAAAAACACAGCACUGUGCAAACACGAAAGUGGACGUAUACGGUGUGACGCCUGCCCGGUGCCGGAAGGUUAAUUGAUGGGGUUAUCCGUAAGGAGAAGCUCUUGAUCGAAGCCCCGGUAAACGGCGGCCGUAACUAUAACGGUCCUAAGGUAGCGAAAUUCCUUGUCGGGUAAGUUCCGACCUGCACGAAUGGCGUAAUGAUGGCCAGGCUGUCUCCACCCGAGACUCAGUGAAAUUGAACUCGCUGUGAAGAUGCAGUGUACCCGCGGCAAGACGGAAAGACCCCGUGAACCUUUACUAUAGCUUGACACUGAACAUUGAGCCUUGAUGUGUAGGAUAGGUGGGAGGCUUUGAAGCGUGGACGCCAGUCUGCGUGGAGCCAACCUUGAAAUACCACCCUUUAAUGUUUGAUGUUCUAACGUUGGCCCCUUACCGGGGUUGCGGACAGUGUCUGGUGGGUAGUUUGACUGGGGCGGUCUCCUCCCAAAGCGUAACGGAGGAGCACGAAGGUUAGCUAAUCCUGGUCGGACAUCAGGAGGUUAGUGCAAUGGCAUAAGCUAGCUUGACUGCGAGCGUGACGGCGCGAGCAGGUGCGAAAGCAGGUCAUAGUGAUCCGGUGGUUCUGAAUGGAAGGGCCAUCGCUCAACGGAUAAAAGGUACUCCGGGGAUAACAGGCUGAUACCGCCCAAGAGUUCAUAUCGACGGCGGUGUUUGGCACCUCGAUGUCGGCUCAUCACAUCCUGGGGCUGAAGUAGGUCCCAAGGGUAUGGCUGUUCGCCAUUUAAAGUGGUACGCGAGCUGGGUUUAGAACGUCGUGAGACAGUUCGGUCCCUAUCUGCCGUGGGCGCUGGAGAAUUGAGGGGGGCUGCUCCUAGUACGAGAGGACCGGAGUGGACGCAUCACUGGUGUUCGGGUUGUCAUGCCAAUGGCACUGCCCGGUAGCUAAAUGCGGAAGAGAUAAGUGCUGAAAGCAUCUAAGCACGAAACUUGCCCCGAGAUGAGUUCUCCCUGAGACUUUAAGUCUCCUGAAGGAACGUUGAAGACGACGACGUUGAUAGGCCGGGUGUGUAAGCGCAGCGAUGCGUUGAGCUAACCGGUACUAAUGAACCGUGAGGCUUAACC
This 2891-nucleotide ribosomal RNA is filed under the name Klebsiella pneumoniae. RNAcentral's name for it is "bacterial LSU rRNA". It matches the Rfam family "Bacterial large subunit ribosomal RNA". The record is from RNAcentral. Lineage: Bacteria; Pseudomonadati; Pseudomonadota; Gammaproteobacteria; Enterobacterales; Enterobacteriaceae.